GAUGAACGCUGGCGGCGUGCCUAAUACAUGCAAGUCGAGCGAACAGACGAGGAGCUUGCUCCUCUGACGUUAGCGGCGGACGGGUGAGUAACACGUGGAUAACCUACCUAUAAGACCGGGAUAACUUCGGGAAACCGGAGCUAAUACCGGAUAAUAUAUUGAACCGCAUGGUUCAAUAGUGAAAGACGGUUUUGCUGUCACUUAUAGAUGGAUCCGCGCCGCAUUAGCUAGUUGGUAAGGUAACGGCUUACCAAGGCGACGAUGCGUAGCCGACCUGAGAGGGUGAUCGGCCACACUGGAACUGAGACACGGUCCAGACUCCUACGGGAGGCAGCAGUAGGGAAUCUUCCGCAAUGGGCGAAAGCCUGACGGAGCAACGCCGCGUGAGUGAUGAAGGUCUUCGGAUCGUAAAGCUCUGUUAUUAGGGAAGAACAAAUGUGUAAGUAACUAUGCACGUCUUGACGGUACCUAAUCAGAAAGCCACGGCUAACUACGUG
This 497-nucleotide ribosomal RNA is filed under the name uncultured bacterium. Its description in RNAcentral is "partial 16S ribosomal RNA". It matches the Rfam family "Bacterial small subunit ribosomal RNA", at positions 28 to 507 of the family's 1533-position model. The record is from RNAcentral.